This 291-nucleotide ribosomal RNA is filed under the name Paenibacillus sp. BK033. Its description in RNAcentral is "partial 16S ribosomal RNA". It matches the Rfam family "Bacterial small subunit ribosomal RNA", at positions 1 to 286 of the family's 1533-position model. Lineage: Bacteria; Bacillati; Bacillota; Bacilli; Caryophanales; Paenibacillaceae. The record is from RNAcentral.
CAUUCAUGGAGAGUUUGAUCCUGGCUCAGGACGAACGCUGGCGGCGUGCCUAAUACAUGCAAGUCGAGCGGACUUUGCCUUCGGGUAAAGUUAGCGGCGGACGGGUGAGUAACACGUGGGUAACCUGCCCAUAAGACUGGGAUAACAUUCGGAAACGAAUGCUAAUACCGGAUACGCGAAACGGUCGCAUGACCGGAUCGGGAAAGGCGGAGCAAUCUGCCACUUAUGGAUGGACCCGCGGCGCAUUAGCUAGUUGGUGGGGUAACGGCUCACCAAGGCGACGAUGCGUAG